GUGCUCGCUUCAGCGGCACAUAUAAUAAAAUAGGAACAAUACAGAGAAGAUUAGCAUGGCUCCUGUGCAAGGAUGACACACAAAUUCGUGAAACAUUCCAGUUUUUG
Cavia porcellus (domestic guinea pig) is the source of this 107-nucleotide small nuclear RNA. NCBI's taxonomy places the organism in Eukaryota, Metazoa, Chordata, Mammalia, Rodentia, Caviidae. The record is from Ensembl.